AAACCCGGACCAAGGAGUCUAACAUGCGUGCGAGUCUAAGGGCGUUCUGUUGCAAACCCCGAAGGCGAAAUGAAAGUGAAGGACGUCUGGCUGGGGACCUCGGUCCUCCCGGUCCCUCUCCUUGGCAGGAUCCCGGCCCUCUGGGGUCGGGCGCACUGCCGGCCCGUCCCACGGCCCACUGGUGGCGCGCGGCUGGGUUGGGGGAGCGGAAACGCUCCUCUUUCUCCGGCUGUGUCCUCCUUACGGGUCGGACGGAGCUUGAGCACGCACGUUGGGACCCGAAAGAUGGUGAACUAUGCCUGGUCAGGACGAGGCCAGAGGAAACUCUGGUGGAAGUCCGUAACGAUUCUGACUGCGCAAAUCGAUCGUUGGACCUGGAUAUGGGGGCGAAAGACUAAUCCAACCAUCUACUACCUGG
Molecule: ribosomal RNA, 418 nt
Filed under: Aphistogoniulus sp. SEM
Lineage: Eukaryota; Metazoa; Arthropoda; Diplopoda; Spirobolida; Pachybolidae
Description: eukaryotic LSU rRNA
Rfam family: Eukaryotic large subunit ribosomal RNA
Source: RNAcentral